AGGGCGAUAGUGGACCUCUGGCACUGAUGUCUAUUCUGCGCUCUACGUAGAGGUAGUAACAUUAUUUCUUCCAAUCUGCUGCCUGCAGUGAAGGAACAGCUUCUCUAACUAGGGUGCACUGCCAGUGCAUUAGAGAGGUGCCAGGGUGGUCAUGAAUGGUUGGCAAAUGCCAAAUGCAAAAAUCCAUGGAGAAAGAGUAUGUGUGGCUGGAACCAGUGGAAUGUACCCUCAUCAUACACGAUGUGAAGAUUCUCUGGAACAACUGCUUGUGAGCUUCUGACAUGGCCAUGGGCGUUGCCGCUGGAACUGCCAAAGGAAGGAUUUCCUGACUGGACCCACUUUGCUGCCACUGCUGAAGCUGACAGCGAAGCCAUUGUAUUGCCCCCAUAGCAAGGAGCAACGGACCAGACUCGCUAAUGGUGAAGCCUUCGACAAAACCAUGGCCACUACCGCCACAUGGAAUGGACACCCAGAUCCACGAUGCUGUCACUGCUGCCACAGGCCCAUGAACUGCCUUCCUCCACUGCAGCUGCAGAAAAGAUGUAAAGGUGGACUUUGACACAAAGGAGAUAUGAAGAAGUGAAGGAACAAAAUAAAUUUUUAAAAAAAGAGAACAAAGAAGGAUUCAGCCAGCCAGAUGAGCAGAAGUGGAAGCGUACGGGCUUAGAGCCCAAACACUUCCUACUGUGCCGCUGCUGCUGUGUAGACAAAAGAGGAAAAGCACCGUUAUCAAAUGCUUGUGUGUAAGUAUCAUCAAAUAAGAGAAGAUGAAUAAACAAUGACAGUACAUUAUGCACUCAUGGAACAAGGCUUUUUUGUGACAAAAAAGUUAUGGAUGUGGCAGUCACAGCAACAUAUUGGCAGGAAUCUGAUGGCACCUUACAAAUUUACUGUGAAUUUUAUCAACUGUUUCUGGAACUAAAUUUCAAGCUGAAAGUAAGUUAAAGGCGAAUGCUGACAACUGCACUGAAUGGCAAUGAAUUCCACAGGCCUUCUCCUGAAAGGGGCAAUGCUGGUGUAAUGUGAGGUCUACAGUCUUAUGAGUAACUAGCAACAGAAGUUACUGAACAGUACCAUGUACAGAGGAAGAUAAGAGAGGACAUCUUGCUUGGAGUAAUCUAGGACCAGGCUCCAGUUGUCUGCAAUCUGACAUUACUAUUGCCAUAGUUCCUUUUACAUAUGCUCAGUUGCUAUAUUUAGAGUAGAGGUAUAUUUCGCUUUACUCUUUAGACACAAAGUUCCAGCUUGCUCUCCAGCUUGUGGGCCAGACUCCCAUUGCUCCAUAAAAUUCAGUUAAUGUCUCCACUUGUGGUAGAAUCCGAAACUAGGAUCAUAAAU
Long non-coding RNA from Stegostoma tigrinum, 1338 nucleotides. RefSeq lists it as uncharacterized. The transcript is spliced from 3 exons. Lineage: Eukaryota; Metazoa; Chordata; Chondrichthyes; Orectolobiformes; Stegostomatidae. The record is from RefSeq and is a predicted model, not a curated record.